CGGAAUGACGCCACCUCUCGCUCCGCCCCGGCGCAAACUCGCUCUUUGCGUUCAUUUCAUUCCUCUUCUCAUUCCGAGCAUUCUUCACAUCUCUGUCAGUGCGCGAAGCGAUUCACCUACACCUUCCUGGCUGGCUCAGAAACACCAGAAUAACUUGACAUAGUAGUAAAAAUACCCAGUAACAUCACAUUACCAAAAGAAAGCGACAUUUUUAUAUGAGAUAUCAAUAACGAGUUGGCUCAGCCGGGAGUUGUUGGAGAUUUCACCGAAGCAUUUUCGGACCACCGCGAAGAAAACGCUGGAGAGACUUGUUGCUUCAACACGUUUGACGGUGCCUUUAAAAAAAAUUUUUUUUUUUUAAAAUCGCCAUCGAAGUUUUGUGUCUCUCCCUAGUCUGCUCCAGGCUUCAGCUUGGAGAGUCCAACCGCCACGAUUGAUCCCAGCAGCUGGAGCGGCAGCGAGAGCCCUGCCGAGGACCUGGAGAGGAUGAGCGACUCGGCAGACAAGCCUGUAGACAAUGAUGCUGAGGGGGUGUGGAGCCCUGACAUUGAACAGAGCUUCCAGGAGGCCCUGGCUAUCUAUCCUCCUUGUGGACGCAGGAAGAUAAUCCUCUCUGAUGAGGGAAAGAUGUAUGAAAGAGCCUGUCCCAGGAUCCUUGGAGAAAGGAUGCUGAGGGCCAAAUUGGAUUUCUGACUGAAUGAGGAAUCAGCUACUUGCGGAUGGUCUAGAGAAAACUGAGCCACCGCCUCUUUGUGGGGCUGCUGCUGGAGUGCCAUUCAUAUGUCACAGAUCUUCCGGAGUCAUUGAGAUUCAGAAGAGAGUUCACUCUGGCCAGGUGGAGGGUUCCUCCAGUUGCUGAACCACACAAAUCCGCUCAGGGGUCACACUAUAAAUAUGUAAUCCUUUUCCUGCUGUUUUGAGUGACAGGAAGACUCCAUAAAGAG
Long non-coding RNA from Xiphias gladius (swordfish), 944 nucleotides. RefSeq lists it as uncharacterized. NCBI's taxonomy places the organism in Eukaryota, Metazoa, Chordata, Actinopteri, Istiophoriformes, Xiphiidae. The record is from RefSeq and is a predicted model, not a curated record. The transcript is spliced from 4 exons.